ACGGGAGGCAGCAGUGGGGAAUAUUGGACAAUGGGGGAAACCCUGAUCCAGCGACGCUGCGUGAGUGAAGAAGUAUUUCGGUAUGUAAAGCUCUAUCAGCAAGGAAGAAAAUGACGGUACUUGACUAAGAAGCUCCGGCUAAAUACGUGCCAGCAGCCGCGGUAGUACGUAUGGAGCAAGCGUUAUCCGGAUUUACUGGGUGUAAAGGGAGCGUAGACGGUUUGGCAAGUCUGAAGUGAAAUGCGGGGGCUCAACUCCUGAACUGCUUUGGAAACUGUCGAACUAGAGUGCAGGAGAGGUAAGUGGAAUUCCUAGUGUAGCGGUGAAAUGCGUAGAUAUUAGGAGGAACACCAGUGGCGAAGGCGGCUUACUGGACUGUAACUGACGUUGAGGCUCGAAAGCGUGGGGAGCAAACAGGAUUAGAUACCCUGGUA
Molecule: ribosomal RNA, 434 nt
Filed under: uncultured Lachnospiraceae bacterium
Lineage: Bacteria; Bacillati; Bacillota; Clostridia; Lachnospirales; Lachnospiraceae
Description: partial 16S ribosomal RNA
Rfam family: Bacterial small subunit ribosomal RNA
Source: RNAcentral